GAGGAGAGCGUUUCCCAGACUCCUUGCCCCUGAGUGAGGAUACGUGCCUGGUUCUGGCCAAGGGGCUGUGGCUGAUACAGCAGGUGUCACUCUGAGUCAAAGCAAAGGAUGUGCAGACAUGAAGUCUCCACGCUCUCUCUUCUUCACCCCUUGUCUCAAGGUGUCAGAGGCACCAGCUUAUGAGGGAUGUAUGAUUGUCAGCACCUCCACUUUACAGAAGAGGACACCUGGGUAUGAUGAUAAGCUGCCCAAGGUCCCAUAUCUGGUGCUUCAUAAUCCUGGCAAAGCCACUAAGCUGAGCAGAGCUGCAGAAAUUCCCUGGCUUUCCUACUGGAAGAUGUCGAUCAAUGAGGGCGCUCGCGGCCUUUGAUGUUAGGCAUCCACGCCCGCUUCUGUAAAGACUUUCGGCUCCACAAGAGAACGGGAAGUCACUGUGAAGAAAGAGGCAGGCGAUGUAACCGGAAAAGCGCAGGUUUGAUGUCAAACAGACCUGCGUGGUUCCACCGCUUUCCGACUGUGUGACACCUCCCCCCCCCCACCACCGGUCCAGUUGCUCUCUGAACCCAAGUCUUGGAAAAUGGAACCAAUAAUACCUGUUCUUCAAGACUGUUCCUGCUGGAAGCUCCAAGAUUCAUCUGAAGGCGUGAUCACAUCCUCAAUGUUGAGUGGACUAUGAACCGGCUGCCAGAGACAGGGUUCCAAGCCGGGCCAGGCCCAUCCCAAUGCCCACCCGAAAAGACGGGACAGAGGAAAGAAAGAAACAAAAUCCUGGGGCUCCAUUGGCUUUCUUUUUGACUCCAGCUGAAGUUGCUGCAUAGUGUGGCCUUGCCAGUCCUCGCCUUGAAAAGGCUGGAAGCGACUGCCGUGAUGGAUCAUCUAAUCCCACAGCCUCAUUCUGCAGAGGACCCCGAGCCUCGACUUGGCCAAGGUCACACAGCUGGGCCACACCCAUGGCGUAUGGUUUUCACAUGGAAUCGGAGCUGCAGUUGCCGGCCUAUGCCACAGCCACAGCAAGGUAGGAUCUGAGCCAAGUCUUUGACCUACACCACAUCUCACGGCAAUUCCAGAUCCCUGGACCCACUGAGUGAGGCCAGGGAUUGAACACGCACCCUUAUGGAUACUAGUUGGAUCACAACGGAACUCCCUGAAAAAUCAAGGUCUUUAAAGCAAUUCAUCAACCCCACCAACAUCUUGGCAUAAGAAAAUUGAUUCUAGCUGGUGCUGUUAUGAGAUGCUGUUGAAGACUCUGGUUUGCCCAGAUGUGCCGCAGUGAAAACAGCCUUUCUCUGACGUGCAUGACUUGUGAGGAUGAUGGGACCUGUGGGAAGAGGGGAUCCUUUUUCAGAGUUUGGAAAGAGAGACAAAAUAACGCCGUCUGCCCUGCAUGGCUGACAGAAACACAUUCUUCCCUAAUCAGUGGGUCACUCACUUCCGCACUAUGUUGCAGGGAAGCAUCAUCUGAUUCCAAGCCUAAGGCUGGGUCAUCCGCGGCACUGACUUCUCCCGACCCUUCUCCGAGCUUCCUGUGCCAGUUUUCAUCAUCAAAUUUCUCUGCUCCCUUAGACCAGCGGAAAAGAAGUUAUGAGCUCUCUCCAUCAUUCGCCGGUCUCUUCGGCCCUUCCUCCUUUGAAGUUUUCUUAUUCGGGGUCUUUUUUCGCUUCUUCUCCAUGUUUCAUCCUCUCUCACUGUAACCUUUUUAUCUCUGGAGAGUUCUCUCUGUGCCUCUGGGCCCUUCUCUUUCUAGUUGGUUCUCAGAACCCAUUCUGGGAUUCUAUUUCAGUCCAUCCGUCUCUCCAACAGACCACGGGUGAAACCAGGGCCGGUAAUCAGUCCCAGCUGCUGGAGGCGUCCGCUCUGGGUCGGCCCCACGUUUGUGGGCUGAUGUUUUGCUUCCCAUAAUGCUCUGGGAGUACUGCUGCUCAGAGCUUGGCUUGUGCUUUUUCUUCUCCUGCCAAGGGGCCCUGCUUCCAAAACCCAGAUUAGAAAACAUGGGACGUUAAAAAAAAAAAAAAAAAGAAUUUGUCCUAUUUCGCAUUUCCUUUUCCAACAGCAGAGUUCUUACACUUUGAUAAUUUCAGAGUGAGAACACAAAUUAAGCGGAUCGGAGGGGAAGGGCUCGUUGGAGAGAAACCCUCUGUCCUUUGAGCCGUCUUGCUGCACCCUGUACGCCUUCCUAGCUCUUCUCGCUCUGUUUACGCCACCACGCGUCACCCUCCAGCUAGAAGGCUUUGGAGGACAGGGACUCCGUCUCCCAGGUCCAUGCAUAGAGUAAGGAUCCAUAUGAAGAUUUUUUCUGUCUGAAGAUUUUUCUNCCCCCCCCCCCCCCCCCCCGAAUGUGUCCUGAGACCGUAGCUGGUUUCAACUGAGUCCAGCUGAGAGGAGCCACGCUGAGGGGGAGGCAAGCAGAGGACAAUGCAGGAUAGGAGGAGGAGGGCAGCAGCAUGUGGCCCGCAGAAGUCAGGACUAGAAGGAAAGCUGCUGAAAUAGAACCAGAGCGAGAGUCCCAUUAGUCCUCCCAUCUUGGACAACGUGGUCAUUUCCUUCAAAUCUCCCCAUUCUCAGGGACAGAAAAAAAUGGUAACGACAAUGAUAAUAGUAGCUAAUAACUGAUACUGAUCUCACCUUGCAGGAACUGUUCUAAAUGCUUUAUACUUACUAACCCAUGUUGUCUUCACAAUAUUAUUUAUUUAUUUACAACCCGCAGUUGCAGCAUAUGGAAGUUUCUGGGCUAGGGAUUGAAUUGGAGUUGCAGCUGAGGCUUAUGCAACAGCCAUGGCGACACCAGAUCUGAGCUGCAUCUGUGACCUAAGCCACAGCUUGCAGCAACGCCAGAUCCUUAGCCCACUCACCGAGCAAGGCCAGGGAUGGAACCCAUGUCCUUACUGAGACAAUGCCGGGUCCUUAACAUGCUGAGCCGUAACUGGAAUUCUUCUCAAUAAUUUAAAUGUGUGUGUCCUAUUUUUGCCACUCCCAUUUUACAGAUAAAGAAAUGGAGGCUCAGAAACUUGCUGAAGGUCACCCUACCAGUAAGUGGUAGACAAGAAAUCAUGAGUCCUGGGGAGUUCCCGUCAUGGCGCAGUGGUUAACGAAUCCGACUAGGAACCAUGAGGUUGCGGGUUUAAUCCCUGCCCUUGCUCAGUGGGUUAAUGAUCCGGCAUUGCCGUGAGCUGUGGUGUAGGUUGCAGAUGCGGCUCGGAUCCCGCGUUGCUAUGGCUCUGGUGUAGGCCGGUGGCUACAGCUCCAAUUCAACCCCUAGCCUGGGAACCUCCAUAUGCCGCAGGAGCAGCCCAAGAAAUGGCAAAAAGACAAAAAAAAAAAAAAAAAAAAAAAAAAAAG
Molecule: long non-coding RNA, 3336 nt
Filed under: Sus scrofa (pig)
Lineage: Eukaryota; Metazoa; Chordata; Mammalia; Artiodactyla; Suidae
Description: lncRNA (ENSSSCG00040026178.1)
Source: RNAcentral